UGCUUGCAAUCCUGAGUAGAGUGGCGCACGGGUGAGUAACACGUAGAUAAUCUACCUUCAAGCCUGGGAUAACUAUUCGAAAGGAUAGCUAAUACCGGAUAAAGUAAAUUAACAUAAGUUAAGCUAUGAAAGAUUGCCUCUUCUUGAAAGCAAUUGUUUGGAGAUGAGUCUGCGGACCAUUAGCUAGUUGGUGGGGUAAAGGCCUACCAAGGCUGCGAUGGUUAGCUGGUCUGAGAGGAUGAUCAGUCACACUGGAACUGGAACACGGUCCAGACUCCUACGGGAGGCAGCAGUGAGGAAUUUUGCGCAAUGGGGGAAACCCUGACGCAGCAACGCCGCGUGAGUGAAGAAGGCCUUUGGGUCGUAAAGCUCUGUCAACUGGGAAGAAGUUGUAGAUAUCCAAUAGGUAUUUGCAUUGACGGUACCAGUGGAGGAAGCGCCGGCUAACUCCGUGCCAGCAGCCGCGGUAACACGGGGGGCGCAAGCGUUAUUCGGAAUUAUUGGGCGUAAAGGGCGCGUAGGCGGUUUUGUCGGUCAGAUGUGAAAGCCCAGGGCUCAACCCUGGACGUGCAUUUGAAACAGCAAGACUUGAGUACGGGAGAGGAAAGCGGAAUUCCUGGUGUAGAGGUGAAAUUCGUAGAUAUCAGGAGGAACACCGAUGGCGAAGGCAGCUUUCUGGACCGAUACUGACGCUGAGGCGCGAAGGCGUGGGUAGCGAACAGGAUUAGAUACCCUGGUAGUCCACGCAGUAAACGAUGUUCACUAGGUGUAGCGGGUAUUAAAAUCUGCUGUGCCGGAGCUAACGCAUUAAGUGAACCGCCUGGGGAGUACGGUCGCAAG
RNAcentral lists this ribosomal RNA (840 nucleotides) under uncultured bacterium. RNAcentral's name for it is "bacterial SSU rRNA". It matches the Rfam family "Bacterial small subunit ribosomal RNA", at positions 77 to 892 of the family's 1533-position model. The record is from RNAcentral.